UGGGGAAUUUUGGACAAUGGGGGCAACCCUGAUCCAGCCAUGCCGCGUGUGUGAAGAAGGCCUUAGGGUUGUAAAGCUCUUUUACCCGGGAUGAUAAUGACAGUACCGGGAGAAUAAGCCCCGGCUAACUCCGUGCCAGCAGCCGCGGUAAUACGGAGGGGGCUAGCGUUGUUCGGAAUUACUGGGCGUAAAGCGCACGUAGGCGGCUUUGUAAGUUAGAGGUGAAAGCCCGGAGCUCAACUCCGGAAUUGCCUUUAAGACUGCAUCGCUUGAAUCAUGGAGAGGUGAGUGGAAUUCCGAGUGUAGAGGUGAAAUUCGUAGAUAUUCGGAAGAACACCAGUGGCGAAGGCGACUCACUGGACAUGUAUUGACGCUGAGGUGCGAAAGCGUGGGGAGCAAACA
Molecule: ribosomal RNA, 402 nt
Filed under: uncultured Sphingomonas sp.
Lineage: Bacteria; Pseudomonadati; Pseudomonadota; Alphaproteobacteria; Sphingomonadales; Sphingomonadaceae
Description: bacterial SSU rRNA
Rfam family: Bacterial small subunit ribosomal RNA
Source: RNAcentral